CUACACCUGUUGUAUUUAGCAUUUCACGGUAAGGUCUACCUACACCUGUUGUAUUCAGCAUUUCACGGUAAGGUCUACCUACACCUGUUGUAUUCAGCAUUUCACUGUAAGGUCUACCUACACCUGUUGUAUUCAGCAUUUCACUGUAAGGUCUACCUACACCUGUUGUAUUCAGCAUUUCACUGUAAGGUCUACCUACACCUGUUGUAUUCAGCAUUUCACGGUAAGGUCUACCUACACCUGUUGUAUUCAGCAUUUCACGGUAAGGUCUACCUACACCUGUUGUAUUCAGCAUUUCACGGUAAGGUCUACCUACACCUGUUGUAUUCAGCAUUUCACGGUAAGGUCUACUACACCUGUUGUAUUCAGCAUUUCAC
This is a long non-coding RNA of Oncorhynchus tshawytscha (Chinook salmon), 377 nucleotides long. Lineage: Eukaryota; Metazoa; Chordata; Actinopteri; Salmoniformes; Salmonidae. The record is from Ensembl.